AAUAAGUACAGUUUUAGCAGUAUUCAUGUUCAACGUUUGACCGUUCGUCUUAUUUAAAAAAAAGAUUAUGAUUAGUAUUUUUAUUGUUAUUAGAUGAUAAAACAUGAAUAAUACUUUAUGUGUGACUAAUUUUUGUAAUAUUUUUUAUAAAUUUUUUAAAUAAGACGGAUGGUCAAAGCGCUAAACACGGAUAUUUAUGGCUGCACUUAUU
Molecule: microRNA precursor, 211 nt
Filed under: Oryza sativa Japonica Group (Japanese rice)
Lineage: Eukaryota; Viridiplantae; Streptophyta; Magnoliopsida; Poales; Poaceae
Description: MIR812 microRNA precursor family
Rfam family: MIR812 microRNA precursor family
Source: Rfam by way of RNAcentral